GACGAACGCUGGCGGCGUGCUUAACACAUGCAAGUCGAACGGAAAGGCCCGGCUUUUGUGGGGUGCUCGAGUGGCGAACGGGUGAGUAACACGUGAGUAACCUGCCCUUGACUGUGGGAUAACUUCAGGAAACUGGGGCUAAUACCGGAGAGGAGCUCCUGCAGCAUGGUGGGGGUUGGAAAGUUUCGGCGGUUGGGGAUGGACUCGCGGCUUAUCAGCUUGUUGGUGGGGUAGUGGCUUACCAAGGCUUUGACGGGUAGCCGGCCUGAGAGGGUGACCGGCCACAUUGGGACUGAGAUACGGACCAGACUCCUACGGGAGGCAGCAGUGGGGAACAUUGCACAACGGGCGGAAGCCUGAUGCAGCAACGCUGCGUGCGGGAUGCCCGCUUUCGGGUUGUAAACCGCUUUCGCAGGUGCCGAAGCGUGAUUGACGGUAAUGGGUCAAGAAGCAACGGCUAACUACGUG
RNAcentral lists this ribosomal RNA (468 nucleotides) under uncultured bacterium. Its description in RNAcentral is "partial 16S ribosomal RNA". It matches the Rfam family "Bacterial small subunit ribosomal RNA", at positions 28 to 507 of the family's 1533-position model. The record is from RNAcentral.